This 439-nucleotide ribosomal RNA is filed under the name uncultured Bacillota bacterium. RNAcentral's name for it is "bacterial SSU rRNA". It matches the Rfam family "Bacterial small subunit ribosomal RNA", at positions 920 to 1359 of the family's 1533-position model. Lineage: Bacteria; Bacillati; Bacillota. The record is from RNAcentral.
GCACCCGCACAAGCAGUGGAGUAUGUUGUUUAAUUCGACGCAACGCGAAGAACCUUACCAGGUCUUGACAUCUACGGAAAGGAUCGUAAUGGAUCCCGUGCCCUUCGGGGAACCGUAAGACAGGUAGUGCAUGGUUGUCGUCAGCUCGUGUCGUGAGAUGUUGGGUUAAGUCCCGCAACGAGCGCAACCCUUGCGGAUAGUUGGUUACGAAAGUAAUCUCUCUAUUCGGACUGCCGUUGACAAAACGGAGGAAGGUGGGGAUGAUGUCAAAUCAUCAUGCUCUUUAUGAUCUGGGCCACAAACGUACUACAAUGGCGCGAACAAAGGGAGCAAAGGCGCGAGCCGGAGCAAAUCCCAAAAACGCGUCCCAGUUCGGAUUGCAGGCUGCAACUCGCCUGCAUGAAGUUGGAAUUGCUAGUAAUCGCGGAUCAGCACGCCG